This 493-nucleotide ribosomal RNA is filed under the name uncultured bacterium. RNAcentral describes it as "bacterial SSU rRNA". It matches the Rfam family "Bacterial small subunit ribosomal RNA", at positions 31 to 518 of the family's 1533-position model. The record is from RNAcentral.
GAACGCUAGCGACAGGCCUAACACAUGCAAGUCGAGGGGCAGCACAAGGAGCAAUCUGAGGUGGCGACCGGCGCACGGGUGAGUAACACGUAUGCAACCUGCCUGUAAGCGGGGAAUAACCCGUUGAAAGACGGACUAAUACCGCAUAAUACUAAAUUACUGCAUGGUAAUUUAUUUAAACAUUUAUGGCUUACAGAUGGGCAUGCGCAUGAUUAGCUAGUUGGAGAGGUAACGGCUCCCCAAGGCAACGAUCAUUAGGGGUUCUGAGAGGAAGGUCCCCCACACUGGUACUGAGACACGGACCAGACUCCUACGGGAGGCAGCAGUGAGGAAUAUUGGUCAAUGGACGAGAGUCUGAACCAGCCAAGUCGCGUGCAGGAAGAAUGUCCCUAUGGAUUGUAAACUGCUUUUGCAGGGGAAUAAAGUGCAUCACGUGUGAUGUUUUGUAUGUACUCUGCGAAUAAGGAUCGGCUAACUCCGUGCCAGCAGCGGC